Molecule: ribosomal RNA, 468 nt
Filed under: uncultured bacterium
Lineage: Bacteria
Description: partial 16S ribosomal RNA
Rfam family: Bacterial small subunit ribosomal RNA
Source: RNAcentral
GACGAACGCUGGCGGCGUGCUUAACACAUGCAAGUCGAACGGAAAGGCCCUGCUUUUGUGGGGUGCUCGAGUGGCGAACGGGUGAGUAACACGUGAGUAACCUGCCCUUGACUUUGGGAUAACUUCAGGAAACUGGGGCUAAUACCGGAUAGGAGCUCCUGCUGCAUGGUGGGGGUUGGAAAGUUUCGGCGGUUGGGGAUGGACUCGCGGCUUAUCAGCUUGUUGGUGGGGUAGUGGCUUACCAAGGCUUUGACGGGUAGCCGGCCUGAGAGGGUGACCGGCCACAUUGGGACUGAGAUACGGACCAGACUCCUACGGGAGGCAGCAGUGGGGAAUAUUGCACAAUGGGCGGAAGCCUGAUGCAGCAACGCCGCGUGCGGGAUGACGGCUUUCGGGUUGUAAACCGCUUUCGCCUGUGACGAAGCGUGAGUGACGGUAAUGGGUAAAGAAGCACCGGCUAACUACGUG